AUGGCGGAGGCUGUUGUCGGGCAGCUGGUGGUGACGCUCGGUGGGGCACUGGCGAAAGAGGCGGCGACCUACGGCGGGGCGCUGCUGUGCAAGGAAGCUGCGGCCCUGAGGGGUCUCUUCGCCAAGAUCCGCCAGUCCAAGGCGGAGCUGGAGAGCAUGCAAGCCUACCUGCAGGAGGCAGAGCGGUUCAAGGACACCGACAAGACCACCGCUAUCUUCGUCGGCGAGGUCAGGGGCCUGGCCUUCCAGAUCGAGGACGUCGUCGACGAGUUCACCUACAAGCUGGAGGACUGCAAGCACGGAGGGUUCGGCGGCAAGAUGAAGAAGCGGCUCAAGCAUAUCAAGACCUGGCGCCGCCUGGCAGCCAAGCUCCAAGAAAUCGAAGCCCAGCUGCAGGAUGCUAAUCGGAGGAAGAGGGAUUACGCCGUCACCGGCAGAUCUGCUUCUGCUGCCAGAUCGACAAAUCAAGGUCAAGCUUUGCACUUCACCAGGGACGAGGACCUUGUGGGGAUCGAGGAGAACAAAGAGAGGUUGAUACGGUGGCUGACCGGCGGCUCUGGCGGUGGUGAUGGUCCGGAACUGAGCAGCAACAAAGUCACCAUGGUGUGGGGGAUGCCUGGUGUUGGUAAAACCACUCUUGUUGAUCAUGUGUACAACACCGUGAAAGAGGACUUCGACGCUGCGGCGUGGGUAACUGUGUCCGAGAGUUACCGUACCGAGGAUGUCCUGAAGAAGAUCGCCGCCCAGUUCGGCAUCACAGUCGACGUCGCCAACACUGAGAUGAGAGGUGUAGCAAGGUCCAUCCAGAACUGCCUUCAAGGUAAAAGGUACAUCUUGGUCCUGGAUGAUGUUUGGGCAGAGCGCUUGUGGUUGGAGAUAAGGGAUGUCUUCCCAACAUCUAACAGUACCGGCCGAGUUGUUAUGACAUCAAGAAAGCAGACAGUGUUGGCAACUAGGGAGUCUGCAUAUGAAAUUCACUUGAAACCACUACAAGCACAUCACUCCUGGCUGUUGUUUUGCAAAGGAGCCUUUGAGGAUGCUGAUGACAAAGAGGGCCCGUUGGAGUUGCAGAAAUUGGCUUGGAAGUUCAUAGCAAAGUGUCAAGGUUUGCCUAUUGCUAUUACAUGCAUUGGCCGCCUACUCUCCCGGAAACUCCCAACUUCCGCUGAAUGGGAGGAUGUGUACAGGGGUUUGGAUUCACAGUUGGUGAAAGAUGUGAUCCCUGAUGCUCAUUUGAUCCUAAAGGUCAGCUUGGAGGACCUUCCGUUUGAUUUGAAGAAUUGUUUCCUACACUGUGCAUUGUCCCCAGAAGAUUAUAUAUUAAAGAGGAGGAAGACAAUGAGACAGUGGAUCACAGCAGGGUUUAUCACGGAAAAAGAUGAGAGCAAAACAUUGGAGGAAGUGGCAGAGGGAUAUUUGGCCGAGCUUGUGAACCGAAGCCUACUGCAGGUAGUGGAAAGGAAUUUUGCCGGACGACUGAAACAAUGUCGGAUGCAUGAUGUCAUCCGGCUUCUUGCCCUCAACAAAGCCAAGGAGGAAUGCUUUGGUAAUGUUUAUAAUGGCUCUGGUGGUACUGGGGUAUUCUCUAUAGAGGGUGCACGUCGCAUAUCAGUCCUGGGAGGAAACAUUGAACAACUGAGCCUAUCUGGUGCAACACAGCUACGUGCACUCCAUGUUUUCGAGAGCUAUAUUGAUAUUGAUUUGCUGAAGCCGAUCCUAACAUCUUCGAGUUUGCUUUCGACAUUGGAUCUGCAAGGUACUCAUAUCAAAAUGCUCCCCAAUGAGGUAUUUGACUUGUUUAAUCUCCGUUAUUUGGGUCUUAGAGAUACCAAGAUCGAAAGCAUGCCUGCAGCAGUGGGGAGGUUACAAAAUUUACAAGUCUUGGAUGCUUAUGAUUCUAAACUGACGUACUUGCCAAAUAGUGUUGUAAAACUUCAAAAGUUGAGAUACCUCUAUGCUGGUACUUCGAAGGACUCCAUACGUGGAGUCAAGGUGCCUAAGGGCAUGCAGCACUUGGCAGGACUGCAUGCUCUUCAGUCCGUCAGAGCCACUCCAGAGUUUCUGCAUGAAGCUGCAGCUUUGACAGAGCUAAGAACAUUCGAUGUGUGCAACGUUCAGAGUGAACACUCUGCUUACUUGAGCAAUGCUAUCACCAAAAUGAGUCAUCUUGUUCAUCUCGAAAUUGAUGCUGCAGCUGAGAAUGAGGUGUUGCGGCUGGAAGGGCUACAUUUACCUCAGACCCUUUCUUGGCUUUCUUUACGAGGGCAGCUAGAAAAAACAUCCAUGCCCCAGCUUUUCUCUUCUUUGUCACACCUUAAUAGCCUCACUCGGUUGCAACUGGAAUUCUCCAAUAUUGAUGAGGAAGCCUUUUCCUGUCUGCACGUGUUACAUGGUCUACGCUCUCUUCUGCUAAGAAAGGCUUUUGAAGGGAAGCGGUUGGAAUUUUACACAGGGUCCUUUCCAAAACUUCGGCGUCUAGGGAUAUGGGGCGCAGCACAGCUCAGCCAAGUUAGAAUAGAGAAGGGCGCGAUGCAAGACCUCGUUGAGCUAUGGUUCGGAGACUGUCCUGACCUAAGGUUUCUUCCUGAUGGCAUCGAACACCUUGCAGGCCUUGAGAAAUUAGUUCUGAUAGACACUUCAGAAGAGCUGAUAGAGAAGCUCCGGCAGGAGAGAGAUUCAGAUGAACUCAAAGAAGAUAUAGUGAAGAUUAGGCACAUAAGGAAUGUUACAGUUGCCCUGACGCAGAAAGGACUUGUCGAAAGGAUUAGGUGA
RNAcentral lists this ribosomal RNA (2772 nucleotides) under Triticum aestivum (bread wheat). Its description in RNAcentral is "partial small subunit ribosomal RNA". The record is from RNAcentral. Lineage: Eukaryota; Viridiplantae; Streptophyta; Magnoliopsida; Poales; Poaceae.